AGCAUUGGAACCACCUGAUCCCAUCCCGAACUCAGUAGUGAAACGAUGCAUCGCCGAUGGUAGUGUGGGGUUUCCCCAUGUGAGAGUAGGUC
Molecule: ribosomal RNA, 92 nt
Filed under: Testudinibacter aquarius
Lineage: Bacteria; Pseudomonadati; Pseudomonadota; Gammaproteobacteria; Pasteurellales; Pasteurellaceae
Also listed under: 2 other names
Source: RNAcentral